This is a long non-coding RNA of Mya arenaria, 534 nucleotides long. RefSeq lists it as uncharacterized. The transcript is spliced from 4 exons. Lineage: Eukaryota; Metazoa; Mollusca; Bivalvia; Myida; Myidae. The record is from RefSeq and is a predicted model, not a curated record.
AAAAUUGUUGUCUGCCACCAUAAAUCUAAACAUGUACGAAAAAUGUUUCUUUUCAUUCCUUGGAUGUGCAAGAAAAUCUUUUAUGUACCAGAUUGUACAGUUCCUAGUAAUGAGAAAUGGCUAGAUGUUAUACAAUAUCAUACUUCAUGAUGUCACCAACAAUGUCAUGUUCUGAGUAUUGGGAAAUAGUUGGAGACUCAGCAGUGCAGAAACUAGUUUACUCAGAAUGUGUGUUCCAACUCACGGAUGAUAUUGUCAGAUAAGAGCACAUUGCCAUUGGCAAGUUGCAGACGUUGACUUUCUGAAUUACAGAAAAUAGUUUCAGUCAGGAUACCAGAAAGCAUCAGGACUUCCAGGGCAUGGCUAUAGCUCCUGAAAGAACAUUAGAAACACUUGAUUAUUUGUGUGAAAUACUUUGAAAUAAAAAAGACUCUUUCUGCAUGAUUUAAUUCCUAAAGAAAAUCAAUAAACCUGAAGAAUGAUUUAUAUAUAUAUGCAUAUAUAUGUAAAAAUAUGUUCCAAUAAAAGUAUCAA